UUUCGGAGAGUUUGAUCCUGGCUCAGGACGAACGCUGGCGGCGUGCCUAAUACAUGCAAGUCGAGCGGACUGAUGGGAGCUUGCUCCCUGAAGUCAGCGGCGGACGGGUGAGUAACACGUGGGUAACCUGCCUGUAAGACUGGGAUAACUCCGGGAAACCGGGGCUAAUACCGGAUAGUUCUUUUCCUCGCAUGAGGAAAAGUGGAAAGGCGGCUUCGGCUGCCRCUUACAGAUGGACCCGCGGCGCAUUAGCUAGUUGGUGAGGUAACGGCUCACCAAGGCAACGAUGCGUAGCCGACCUGAGAGGGUGAUCGGCCACACUGGGACUGAGACACGGCCCAGACUCCUACGGGAGGCAGCAGUAGGGAAUCUUCCGCAAUGGACGAAAGUCUGACGGAGCAACGCCGCGUGAGUGAUGAAGGUUUUCGGAUCGUAAAGCUCUGUUGUUAGGGAAGAACAAGUGCCGUUCGAAUAGGGCGGCACCUUGACGGUACCUAACCAGAA
Molecule: ribosomal RNA, 504 nt
Filed under: Rossellomorea vietnamensis
Lineage: Bacteria; Bacillati; Bacillota; Bacilli; Caryophanales; Bacillaceae
Description: bacterial SSU rRNA
Rfam family: Bacterial small subunit ribosomal RNA
Source: RNAcentral